GGCACCAGGUUUUGAUCCUGGCAUUCCCAGGUUCGAAUCCUGGUAUCCCAGCCAUACAAUUUCUUAAGGUUA
Molecule: transfer RNA, 72 nt
Filed under: Yersinia enterocolitica (type O:5,27) str. YE149/02
Lineage: Bacteria; Pseudomonadati; Pseudomonadota; Gammaproteobacteria; Enterobacterales; Yersiniaceae
Description: transfer RNA-Gln
Rfam family: tRNA (bases 1-51)
About the family: Transfer RNA (tRNA) molecules are approximately 80 nucleotides in length. Their secondary structure includes four short double-helical elements and three loops (D, anti-codon, and T loops).
Source: RNAcentral